UGCUUACUAACCGAUCCUUCCGGAUGGAGCUUCCUAAUGGAAAACCCUAUCGGACUUGGCUUCAGUCGCUGAUUCUAGCUUCAACCGAUCUCAACUUCGAAAGUCAAUCCAAAUUAUCCACUGAUUUCUAUUUCAAUCACACAUCUUAGCCACCUGCAUCAGAGCGGCUCUCAUCUCCACUUACCAUGCCACUUAUCGAUCC
Molecule: long non-coding RNA, 202 nt
Filed under: Elaeis guineensis (African oil palm)
Lineage: Eukaryota; Viridiplantae; Streptophyta; Magnoliopsida; Arecales; Arecaceae
Description: long non-coding RNA (EGUI_LNC053411)
Source: RNAcentral